RNAcentral lists this ribosomal RNA (497 nucleotides) under uncultured bacterium. RNAcentral describes it as "partial 16S ribosomal RNA". It matches the Rfam family "Bacterial small subunit ribosomal RNA", at positions 28 to 507 of the family's 1533-position model. The record is from RNAcentral.
GAUGAACGCUGGCGGCGUGCCUAAUACAUGCAAGUCGAGCGAACGGACGAGAAGCUUGCUUCUCUGAUGUUAGCGGCGGACGGGUGAGUAACACGUGGAUAACCUACCUAUAAGACUGGGAUAACUUCGGGAAACCGGAGCUAAUACCGGAUAAUAUUUUGAACCGCAUGGUUCAAAAGUGAAAGACGGUCUUGCUGUCACUUAUAGAUGGAUCCGCGCUGCAUUAGCUAGUUGGUAAGGUAACGGCUUACCAAGGCAACGAUGCAUAGCCGACCUGAGAGGGUGAUCGGCCACACUGGAACUGAGACACGGUCCAGACGCCUACGGGAGGCAGCAGUAGGGAAUCUUCCGCAAUGGGCGAAAGCCUGACGGAGCAACGCCGCGUGAGUGAUGAAGGUCUUCGGAUCGUAAAACUCUGUUAUUAGGGAAGAACAUAUGUGUAAGUAACUGUGCACAGCUUGACGGUACCGAAUCAGAAAGCCACGGCUAACUACGUG